Molecule: long non-coding RNA, 645 nt
Filed under: Dromaius novaehollandiae (emu)
Lineage: Eukaryota; Metazoa; Chordata; Aves; Casuariiformes; Dromaiidae
Description: lncRNA (ENSDNVG00000017001.1)
Source: RNAcentral
GGGAAGCUGACACCUAGAGAACAACGUGCUGGCGGGGGAAGUGUGUCAGUGUGCGAGGCAGAGCUAUGGCUCUGCUUGACUAAUCUUUUUUGUGGGUUUUUUGUUUUGUUUGUGUUUUGCUUUGUUUUUAUUUAAAACGCUUUAUCUAGAUCUACUACUUUUUUUGGUCUACUUUCUUGCCUGGGACAUAUAUUUCCUCUACGUUAUUAACUUCCAUCACGGAUCUUUUGGACUCGGGACAAGACCUCUGAAUGACUUCUGUAUUGAUAAAGGAAAAAGCGCUACUUGGGCUGUGCCUGGUGAUUUCCUACUUUAUGGCAUCCCUUUCUAAUCUUGGAGGGGCAGAGCUUGCAAUCCCACGUUAAGAGAAAUUCCUGUUCAGCAACUGUGGCUAUCACAGAAUUAUUUGGGAUCAAAGAAUACAGAAUAUGCUCAACAGGGCAAAAAACUUGCUUGGAAAGUAGUGACUUGGAAGCAUGUAAGGAUCCUUAUAGAUGACUGCCUCAACUGUUGGGAAAAAGGGCUAAUGUUGUCCUUUGAUAUAUGUCAAAUAUAUAUAACCAGAGGCAUAGCAGGUAAGUGUCCGGUAGCGAUCUUAUGUUCAUAUAAUAGCAUAAGUGAGACGUUUAGCGCCCAGCAGUGCUA